RNAcentral lists this ribosomal RNA (497 nucleotides) under uncultured bacterium. Its description in RNAcentral is "partial 16S ribosomal RNA". It matches the Rfam family "Bacterial small subunit ribosomal RNA", at positions 28 to 507 of the family's 1533-position model. The record is from RNAcentral.
GAUGAACGCUGGCGGCGUGCCUAAUACAUGCAAGUCGAGCGAACAGACGUGGAUUUUGUUCCUCUUACGUUAGCGGCGGACGGGUGAGUAACACGUGAAUCACCUACCUAUUAGCCCGGGCUAACUUCGGGACAUCGGAGCUAAUACCUGAUUACAUAUUGAACUGCAUGGUUCAAUAGUGAAAGGCAGACUUGCUGUCAGUUAUUGAUGGAUCCCCGCCGCAUUAGCUUGUUGGUAAGGUGACGGUUUACCAAGGCAACGAUGCGUAGUCGACCCGGGAGGGUGAUCGGCGACAGUGGCACUGGGACAGGGUCCAGACUCCUACGGGAGGCGGAAGUAGGGGAUCGUCCGAAAUGGGAGAGGGCCGGACGGAGAAACGCCGAGGGAGUGAUGAGGGUCUUCGGAUCGGGAUUCUCUGUUAUUAGGGACGGACAAGUGUGUAAGUAGCUAUGCGGGUGGUGACGGUACCUAAAGAAAAAGCCACGGCUAACUACGUG